RNAcentral lists this ribosomal RNA (371 nucleotides) under uncultured organism. RNAcentral describes it as "bacterial SSU rRNA". It matches the Rfam family "Bacterial small subunit ribosomal RNA", at positions 526 to 896 of the family's 1533-position model. The record is from RNAcentral.
CAGAGGUCCCAAGCGUUGUUCGGAUUCACUGGGCGUAAAGGGUGCGUAGGUGGUGAGGUAAGUCGGAUGUGAAAGCUCCGAGCUCAACUCGGAAAUGGCAUUGGAAACUACCUUGCUCGAGGGUUUGAGGGGGACUGGAAUACUUGGUGUAGCAGUGAAAUGCGUAGAUAUCAAGUAGAACACCAGUGGCGAAGGCGAGUCCCUGGAAAACUCCUGACACUGAGGCACGAAAGCUAGGGGAGCAAACAGGAUUAGAUACCCUGGUAGUCCUAGCCGUAAACGGUGCGUAUUUGCUGUAAAAGGAAUCGACCCCUUUUGUGGCGUAGCCAACGCGUUAAAUACGCCGCCUGGGAAGUACGGUCGCAAGAUUA